CCCUUAGAUGUUCUGUGCCGCACGCGUGCUACACUGAGUGGAUCAGCGGGUCAGGUUGCGCGAAAGUGUUUCCUAAUCUUUAAAUCCGCUCGUGAUGGGGAUUGACGGUUGCAAUUUUCCGUCAUGAACGAGGAAUACCUUGUAAGCGCGGGUCAUCAUCCCGCGCUGAAUACGUCCCUGCCCUUUGUACACACCGCCCGUCGCUCCUACCGAUUGAGUGGUCCGGUGAGGCUUUGGGAUCUGAGCGGAAAGAGCGUUUCGCUGUUUCUGCCCGGAAAACUCAGUCGAACCUUAUCAUUUAGAGGAAGGAGAAGUCGUAACA
This 322-nucleotide ribosomal RNA is filed under the name uncultured eukaryote. RNAcentral describes it as "partial 18S ribosomal RNA". It matches the Rfam family "Eukaryotic small subunit ribosomal RNA", at positions 1470 to 1796 of the family's 1831-position model. The record is from RNAcentral.